GACGAACGCUGGCGGCGUGCCUAAUACAUGCAAGUAGGACGCAGUUGCGAACGGGUGAGUAAAGCGUAGGUAACUGCCUAUUAGAGGGGGAUAACUAUUGGAAACGAUAGCUAAUACCGCAUACUAGUAGAUGGACCUGCGUUGUAUUAGGUAGUAGGUAGGGUAAUGGCCUACCUAGGCGACGCAACAUAGCCGAGUUGAGAAGUUGAUCCGCCAACCCUGGACUGAGACACGGCCCAGACUCCUUCGGGAGGUAGACGUAGGGAAUCGUUGGCAAUGUGGGGAACCCUGAACGAGCAACGCCGCGUGAGUGAAGAAGGUUUUCGGAUCUGAAAGCUCUGUUGUUAAGGAAGCGGUACCUAACCAGAAAGGGACGGCUAACUACGUGCCAGCAGCCGCGGUAAUUC
Molecule: ribosomal RNA, 407 nt
Filed under: uncultured bacterium
Lineage: Bacteria
Description: partial 16S ribosomal RNA
Rfam family: Bacterial small subunit ribosomal RNA
Source: RNAcentral